CUUCCUCGAUCUGCUGCGGGCAGAUGUAAUGGAUAUGGCUGUCAAAACCGCCGGCGGUGAGGAUCUUGCCUUCGCCGGCAAUCGCCUCGGUGCCGGGUCCGACGAUGAUGUUGACCCCUGGCUGGGUGUCGGGAUUGCCGGCCUUGCCGAUGGCGGCGAUGCGCCCAUCUUUCAGGCCGAUGUCGGCCUUAUAGAUCCCGGUGUGAUCGACCACCAGCGCAUUGGUGAUGACGGUGUCGACAGCGCCAUCAGCGCGAGUGACCUGGGACUGACCCAUGCCGUCGCGAAUG
This 290-nucleotide small RNA is filed under the name Hoeflea phototrophica DFL-43. Its description in RNAcentral is "5' ureB small RNA". It matches the Rfam family "5' ureB small RNA". Lineage: Bacteria; Pseudomonadati; Pseudomonadota; Alphaproteobacteria; Hyphomicrobiales; Rhizobiaceae. The record is from Rfam by way of RNAcentral.